AACUUUCGACAACGGAUCACUUGGCUUUCGCAUCGAUGAAGAACGCAGCGAAAUGCGAUAAGUAAUGUGAAUUGCAGAUUUUCAGUGAAUCAUCGAAUCUUUGAACGCACCUUGCGCUCCUUGGUAUUCCGAGGAGCAUGCCUGUUUGAGUGUCAUUAAAUCCUCAACCCCGAUCGAUUUGUUUCGACCUCGGGGCUUGGACUUGGAGCGUGCUGGCGUGAGUCGGCUCCUCUCAAAUGGAUCGGCGGAAUUCAAUCCUUGGCUUGCGGACGUCAGUGUGAUAAUCACGUUGCGCUGUCGUUUGAGCCGUAAGGGUCCGCUUACAAUGGUCUUCGGACAACUUCAUUUAAAUUUGACCUCAAAUCAGGUAGGACUACCCGCUGAACUUAAGCAUAUCAAUAAGCGGAGGCU
This 411-nucleotide unclassified non-coding RNA is filed under the name uncultured Piloderma. RNAcentral describes it as "sequence contains ITS2". The stretch from base 1 to 155 matches the Rfam family "5.8S ribosomal RNA". The record is from RNAcentral. Lineage: Eukaryota; Fungi; Basidiomycota; Agaricomycetes; Atheliales; Atheliaceae.